Molecule: ribosomal RNA, 1434 nt
Filed under: uncultured organism
Description: 16S ribosomal RNA
Rfam family: Bacterial small subunit ribosomal RNA
Source: RNAcentral
CAGGCUUAACACAUGCAAGUCGAGGGGCAGCAUGGUCUUAGCUUGCUAAGGCCGAUGGCGACCGGCGCACGGGUGAGUAACACGUAUCCAACCUGCCGUCUACUCUUGGACAGCCUUCUGAAAGGAAGAUUAAUACAAGAUGGCAUCAUGAGUCCGCAUGUUCACAUGAUUAAAGGUAUUCCGGUAGACGAUGGGGAUGCGUUCCAUUAGAUAGUAGGCGGGGUAACGGCCCACCUAGUCUUCGAUGGAUAGGGGUUCUGAGAGGAAGGUCCCCCACAUUGGAACUGAGACACGGUCCAAACUCCUACGGGAGGCAGCAGUGAGGAAUAUUGGUCAAUGGGCGAGAGCCUGAACCAGCCAAGUAGCGUGAAGGAUGACUGCCCUAUGGGUUGUAAACUUCUUUUAUAAAGGAAUAAAGUCGGGUAUGGAUACCCGUUUGCAUGUACUUUAUGAAUAAGGAUCGGCUAACUCCGUGCCAGCAGCCGCGGUAAUACGGAGGAUCCGAGCGUUAUCCGGAUUUAUUGGGUUUAAAGGGAGCGUAGAUGGAUGUUUAAGUCAGUUGUGAGAGUUUGCGGCUCAACCGUAAAAUUGCAGUUGAUACUGGAUAUCUUGAGUGCAGUUGAGGCAAGCGGAAUUCGUGGUGUAGCGGUGAAAUGCUUAGAUAUCACGAAGAACUCCGAUUGCGAAGGCAGCCUGCUAAGCUGCAACUGACAUUGAGGCUCGAAAGUGUGGGUAUCAAACAGGAUUAGAUACCCUGGUAGUCCACACGGUAAACGAUGAAUACUCGCUGUUUGCGAUAUACAGCAAGCGGCCAAGCGAAAGCGUUAAGUAUUCCACCUGGGGAGUACGCCGGCAACGGUGAAACUCAAAGGAAUUGACGGGGGCCCGCACAAGCGGAGGAACAUGUGGUUUAAUUCGAUGAUACGCGAGGAACCUUACCCGGGCUUAAAUUGCAGAUGAAUUACGGUGAAAGCCGUAAGCCGCAAGGCAUCUGUGAAGGUGCUGCAUGGUUGUCGUCAGCUCGUGCCGUGAGGUGUCGGCUUAAGUGCCAUAACGAGCGCAACCCUUGUUGUCAGUUACUAACAGGUUCCGCUGAGGACUCUGACAAGACUGCCAUCGUAAGAUGUGAGGAAGGUGGGGAUGACGUCAAAUCAGCACGGCCCUUACGUCCGGGGCUACACACGUGUUACAAUGGGGGGUACAGAGGGCCGCUACCACGCGAGUGGAUGCCAAUCCCCAAAACCUCUCUCAGUUCGGACUGGAGUCUGCAACCCGACUCCACGAAGCUGGAUUCGCUAGUAAUCGCGCAUCAGCCACGGCGCGGUGAAUACGUUCCCGGGCCUUGUACACACCGCCCGUCAAGCCAUGGGAGCCGGGGGUACCUGAAGUGCGUAACCGCGAGGAGCGCCCUAGGGUAAAACUGGUGACUGGGGC